Molecule: non-coding RNA, 31 nt
Filed under: Mus musculus (house mouse)
Lineage: Eukaryota; Metazoa; Chordata; Mammalia; Rodentia; Muridae
Source: RNAcentral
UGACUUGGUUUUAAGAUUAUUUUAUCAGUGA